CGUUCCCGGGCCUUGUACACACCGCCCGUCACACCACGAAAGUCAGCAACACCCGAAGCCGGUGGCCUAACCCGCAAGGGAGGGAACCGUCGAAGGUGGGGUUGAUGAUUGGGGUG
This 116-nucleotide ribosomal RNA is filed under the name uncultured bacterium. Its description in RNAcentral is "partial 16S ribosomal RNA". It matches the Rfam family "Bacterial small subunit ribosomal RNA", at positions 1369 to 1482 of the family's 1533-position model. The record is from RNAcentral.